GAUGAACGCUGGCGGCGUGCCUAAUACAUGCAAGUCGAGCGAACAGAUGAGGAGCUUGCUCCUCUGACGUUAGCGGCGGACGGGUGAGUAACACGUGGAUAACCUACCUAUAAGACUGGGAUAACUUCGGGAAACCGGAGCUAAUACCGGAUAAUAUAUUGAACCGCAUGGUUCAAUAGUGAAAGACGGUUUUGCUGUCACUUAUAGAUGGAUCCGCGCCGCAUUAGCUAGUUGGUAAGGUAACGGCUUACCAAGGCAACGAUGCGUAGCCGACCUGAGAGGGGGAUCGGCCACACCGGAACUGAGACACCGGCCCGACUCCUACGGGAGGGCGCAGUAGGGAAUCUUUCGGAAUGGGCGGAAGGCCGACGGAGGCAAGGCGGGUGAGUGAUGAAGGGCCUUCGAUUGUAAAACCCUGGUAUUAGGGAAGAACAAAUUUGGAAGGAAACAUGGACGGUUUGGAGGGAACCAAACAGAAAGGCACGGGCAAACAAGUG
RNAcentral lists this ribosomal RNA (497 nucleotides) under uncultured bacterium. Its description in RNAcentral is "partial 16S ribosomal RNA". It matches the Rfam family "Bacterial small subunit ribosomal RNA", at positions 28 to 507 of the family's 1533-position model. The record is from RNAcentral.